UACGCUUCCGUACUAACGGGAGCUGCCGGAUACAAUCGGGAGAAAGAAGAGGAAAGCUGGCAGUUUGAGUGUGGUAAUUUUAACUUCCACUCAGAAGGCGGCAGCAUUAUGCCUUGACGUAUACAUGUCUACAAUAAGAAAUAAGUAGGUGCUCCGGCUUAAUAAUAAAAUGAACUUAACCCUGAAAUAUUGGAAAGAGGCGGCCACGCUGAUGCUGGCUGCUCGAUCAAGUUGCGUAUCCGUUGCACCGCGAUCAGCCAUUAGCCCACAUUUUGAUUAUGAGGUUCUGCUGCUUAAACGCAGUGCUAAAAGCAGCUUCAUGCCGAAUGCCUAUGUCUUUCCGGGUGGACUCAUUGACGAUUCGGAUUUCUCUUGCGACUGGGUCGAAAUCUUCAAGCCAUUUUCUUCCCUUCCUGGAUUCGGACUUGGGUUAGUUCAGCAAGAUCCGAAGACACGCUCCCCCAUGUUUGCCACAGAUAGAAUCAAACUAGGCUCCCUUGUGCCUGGGGAGGUGGCCUUUCGAAUAUGUGCAAUUCGUGAAACUUUCGAAGAGUCGGGAAUUAUGCUUGCAUUGCCACAAGGAAGGACAGGCCAGAAAACCGGGGAGUUGCCUGGUGCCAUACAGCAUGAUGAGCUGAACAGUUGGCGGGCUCGUGUUCUUCAAGAGCCUAAGCAGUUUACGGAAAUGUGCCGGGAACUACAAUGCAUGCCGAACAUCUGGGCCCUGUACGAGUGGAGCAACUGGCUCACUCCGCCAGAUGUAGGGAGGAAGGGGCGGUACGACACGGCAUUUUUCGUUUGCUGCAUACAAGACGUCCCAAGUACUGCUCAUGAUGAGAAGGAAAUCAUGCACUACAAGUGGGAAGAUCCAAUGGCAAUCCUAAGCAGUUAUAAGACCAAGGCAGUAUGGAUUGCACCUCCUCAGUUUUAUGAGCUUAGCAGAUUGUGUAACUUUCUCCAGCUGGAAGAUUUACAUCAGUUUGCUGUAGGUCGUGGACUGCAAGGGUGUGAAAGAUGGAUGCCUCUCCAGUUAUCAUUGGACAAUUCGUUAGUCUCUGUAUUACCAGGUGAUGCAUUAUAUCCUGAGAACCCAGACUGGAUUGAUAAUGGUGUAACCUUUCCAUUUGUAGAGAAGUCAGAUCUGCAAGAAAAAGUCUGUGCUCUUCACCGUUUGGAGUUCGAGAGUCUUUACAGCAUUACAGUGCACGUCAACAUCUUUCCAAAAUACAAACAUGUAAAUCCUAAAUGCAUACUAUUUGGAAAGUCAACAGGAUACAAUACAAAAUCUUCCACAGCAGUUGGUUGGGUCAGUGGAUUGUGGAGUAUUCAUGUUGAUGUAUGCUCUGCACCUUGUCUUGGAUGCACCAUUUGACUUCACAUCUCGUGUGAAAUAUUUCUUAUAGGACAAAAGGGGCACUGGAGAGUACCCAGAACAGUGAGGAGGAACCACUAAUAAAAAAGGACCUCCACACUGCAGUAAAAUGGUUGCACCAACAUAGACAGUUGUUCAGAGGUGCCGUGUCUGAGCCCCGUUUCCUGGAGAUGGAGGAGGAGGACCAAAGCCAAACUCUCCAGGACAUCAUUGAUCCAGUCGAAACUGAAGAUUUAAUUUUGACAAAAGAACCCUUUUUAUUUAUUUUUCUGUUUUGGGAUGAUAUGGAACUUUUCACUCAGGAAUCUCGGGAUAAAAUGAAACAAAGUAAACUGCAUAUUUAAUGAAAAAGUAUAAUUAUUGUCUGUUGCUACAUUGAUUGUUA
Molecule: RNA transcript, 1757 nt
Organism: Polypterus senegalus (gray bichir)
Lineage: Eukaryota; Metazoa; Chordata; Cladistia; Polypteriformes; Polypteridae
Gene: nudt19
Gene name: nudix (nucleoside diphosphate linked moiety X)-type motif 19
Exons: 7
Source: RefSeq, a predicted model, not a curated record